This is a non-coding RNA of Vicia faba (fava bean), 237 nucleotides long. NCBI's taxonomy places the organism in Eukaryota, Viridiplantae, Streptophyta, Magnoliopsida, Fabales, Fabaceae. The record is from the annotation of a GenBank genome assembly.
AUGUUAGCUUCGAAGGACCAAUUAUUUCAACGGGGAAUAUUUGCCUCUCCUUCCGAUCUCAAUUGCAUUUUUUGUUCUGAAGUUAACGAGAAUUUGGAUCACUUAUUACUGUCUUGUUCCGUUUCUAAAACAGUGUGGCCAAUUAUUGAGAAUUGGGUGAGUAAGUCAACUUUGGAUCAUGAAGAUAUUUGUGGUAGCUUCUUAGAUUGGAAUGAUUUUUCAUAUCCAGGAAGGUGA